UAAAGAAAGCGUAAUAGCUCACUGGUCGAGUCGGCCUGCGCGGAAGAUGUAACGGGGCUAAACCAUGCACCGAAGCUGCGGCAGCGACACUGUGUGUUGUUGGGUAGGGGAGCGUUCUGUAAGCCUGUGAAGGUGUGUCGUGAGGCAUGCUGGAGGUAUCAGAAGUGCGAAUGCUGACAUAAGUAACGAUAAAGCGGGUGAAAAGCCCGCUCGCCGGAAGACCAAGGGUUCCUGUCCAACGUUAAUCGGGGCAGG
RNAcentral lists this ribosomal RNA (255 nucleotides) under Salmonella enterica subsp. enterica serovar Apeyeme. RNAcentral's name for it is "partial 23S ribosomal RNA". It matches the Rfam family "Bacterial large subunit ribosomal RNA", at positions 1124 to 1378 of the family's 2925-position model. The record is from RNAcentral. Lineage: Bacteria; Pseudomonadati; Pseudomonadota; Gammaproteobacteria; Enterobacterales; Enterobacteriaceae.